This 465-nucleotide ribosomal RNA is filed under the name uncultured Klebsiella sp. RNAcentral's name for it is "bacterial SSU rRNA". It matches the Rfam family "Bacterial small subunit ribosomal RNA", at positions 338 to 795 of the family's 1533-position model. The record is from RNAcentral. Lineage: Bacteria; Pseudomonadati; Pseudomonadota; Gammaproteobacteria; Enterobacterales; Enterobacteriaceae.
CCUACGGGAGGCUGCAGUGGGGAAUAUUGCACAAUGGGCGCAAGCCUGAUGCAGCCAUGCCGCGUGUGUGAAGAAGGCCUUCGGGUUGUAAAGCACUUUCAGCGGGGAGGAAGGCGGUGAGGUUAAUAACCUUGUCGAUUGACGUUACCCGCAGAAGAAGCACCGGCUAACUCCGUGCCAGCAGCCGCGGUAAUACGGAGGGUGCAAGCGUUAAUCGGAAUUACUGGGCGUAAAGCGCACGCAGGCGGUCUGUCAAGUCGGAUGUGAAAUCCCCGGGCUCAACCUGGGAACUGCAUUCGAAAGUGGCGGGGUAGAGUCUUGUAGAGGGGGGUAGAAUUCCAGGUGUAGCGGGGAAAUGCGUAGAGAUCUGGAGGAAUACCGGUGGCGAAGGCGGCCCCCUGGACAAAGACUGACGCUCAGGUGCGAAAGCGUGGGGAGCAAACAGGAUUAGAUACCCGGGUAGUC